CUACGUUACCAUGGCAUUAGAAUUUUGACUCAGCACUACAUGAAUUGUGUGAUCACUCUGGCUCUGUGAAACCAGAAACCUCCCCUCUCCUUGUCCAUUGCUUUGUCCCCAAAGAGGAAUGUUGAGAUGGCUAAAUAUGUGCUCAACAAGAGAACAGGUGCUUGUCAUUUUCUUUUUUUUUAAGAUUAUUUAUUUGAAAGUCAGAUUUACAUAGAGAGAGAAGGAGAGGCAGAGAGAGAGAGAAAGAGGUUUUCCAUCCUCUGGUUUACUCCCCAAAUAGCUGCAACAGCCAGAGCUGGGCUGAUCCGAAGUCAGGAGCCAGGAACCUCUCUGGAUCUCCCACAUGGGUGCAGGGGCCCAAGGACUUGGGCCAUCUUCUACUGCUUUACCAGGCCACAGCAGAGAGCUGGAUCUGAAGUGGAGCGGCCAGGACUCGAACUGGUGCCCAUAUGGGAUACUGGCACUGCAGGCAGUGGCUUUACCUGCUAUGCCACAGUACUGGCCCCCAAGUGCUUGUUAUUUUCUUAAGUUGUCUUUCCUUCUCCAAAAUCAUAUCCAGGGAAAAAAAGGAGUGACCCUAAAUUAUAUAAAAUUGAGAAGCAAAUGAACCUCAUUUGAAUAACUGAGCCAUCUUGCAACUUUCAAAAAAAAUUGAUACCCGAAUACUCAAUUCAGAUUUUGUUUACGCACUGUUUUCUUGUUCGAGGCCUUGGAAAUUUCAAUAAUUGCAUGUCGUACCAUGUCAGAAGCAGCAGUAUUGGGUCCCAGUGGAGGUGGCCCAGACAUCAGCUGUGCCCUGUGGUCUUGUACAAGUCAGCUUCUUUGUGCAUUUGGGUCAGCUUUUGGGACAAGAGGCACCACAGGAGUCUUCCAGUAACACUCAAGUGGGUACAUAGGAGAGAGCAAGUGCAUCUACAAGUACCAAGUACAUUGGAGAAAUUCUGAAGUGUUCGGUAAGUUUUAGAACACGUUCCUGUGAGUUAGGGCUAGGCUGGAAGCUCCAGUCCCCUUCCAGAAGGGCACUUCCUCCUUUUGUGUCAUCCAAAUUUUCUCAUUCCCAGAUAAGAACUUCAAUUACUUUCUUUUGUUAAAAGUCUCGAUGCUUCCUGGUAACUGUCUCUGUGUACUUCCCGGAAGUAUGAACUAAGCCAUCACAAACAUUGGGGUGCACCACCUGGUGUGGGUGAAUACUUAGUCCAAGAAGGCUGCUCUAACGCCUGUCCACUAGUAUUAUGCGUGUGUGUGUGUGUGUGUGUGUGUGUGUGUUUCUUGCAGGAAGAUAGAAAACACAGAUAGAAAAAGAGAAGAAAUAAACACCGGAAAUCCACUACUCAGACAGAUAACGGGUGUACAUCCUUUAGGUCUGUACACACAUUGACAUCUGUUUAUCUUUUUGCCUAUUUAUUUAGAGGAGUUUAGAUUUAUGGGAAAAUAAGCGGGAAAUACGGCAUUCUCAGGAAAUCCCUCCCAGCUCCCUCUGCUCCUUCCCUAUCAUCUCACGGGGGUGAGGUGUGCUCACUACUCACUGUCAGCCUGCCCUGACCCCCACGGUCGCCCAAGGCCAGCUUUGACAUUAACGGUUCCCGUGGUCGGGACAAAGAUGCACUGACCCUGGACCCUGGUGUCACACAGAGCAUACUCAGAGUUAGCAGCACCCGGCCUACUGACCCCUGGCAACCGUGGAUCUCUUCCUGUUUCCACAGUUCCGCCUGUGCCAAAAACAAGACAAAAAAUCGCAGAGCUGGACCCCUGCAGAAUGUGGCCUUUCUAGAUUGCCUUCUUUUACUUCUGUGAUGGGCAUUUACCUUUGCACCACAGAAACUCUUCUCUCCAUGGCUAUGUAGCUCCUGUCUUCUCUUUGCUGAAUAACGCUCGGUUGUCUGGACGUGCCAGGGUUGGUUUAUCCAUUCACCUGCUGAAGAGCAUCUUGGUUGCUUCCACAUUGUGGAAGAACGAACCAAGUCAUCUUAACCACAGGGGUGCACAGCCUAGUGUGGGUGGAUAACAAGAAGUCUCGGGUGAGGGUAUCUUUAGUCUGUAAGAUAUCACCACACUCUAUUCUAGAGCGGCUGCACCGUUUGCUCCCAGCACUUGGGAAUGGAAGCUCCCUGUUGUCCCACAUCCUUGCCGGCUUGGAGGGUUCCCAGAGGUCUGGGGUUUGGUCAUUCCAAUAGGUAGGAAGAGCUUUCUCAUUGUUGUUUUAAUUUGCAUUUCCCUGAUGACCUAUGAUAUGUGGGGCACCUUUUCAUUUAUUUAUUUGCCAUCUGUGUAUCUUUGGUGAGGUGUCCAGGUCUUGGGCUCAUUUUGUAGUUGACUAGUUUGCUUUCUUUUUUUAAAAAAAGAUUUAUUUUAUUUAUUUGAAAGGCAGAGUUACAGAGAGGCAAAGGAAGAGAGAGAGAGAAAGAGAGAAAGAGAGAGAGAGAGAAAGAGAGAGAAAAAGAGAGAGGUCUUCCAUCGGCUGGUUCCUCCCCAAAUGUCCACAACAACCAGGGCGAGGCCAGGCUGAAGCCGGGAGCCAGAAGCUCCAUCCAGGUCUCCCAAGUGAGUGGCGGGGCCCAAGCACUCGAGCCUUCAUCUGCUGCCUCCCAGGCCCAGGCAGCUGAAUUGGAAGCAUGGAGCAGUUAGGACUCCAACCUAAGGCCUGUGGGCAUCCCAAACAGCGGCUUAGCCCUCUGUGCCAUAGUGCCUGCCCCCACCUCGUGCAUUUUGGAUACCAGUCCUUCAUUAGAUAUUUGCUUGGCAAAUGUGUUCUCCCCAUCUGUGACUUGUCUUUUCAUUGUUUAAAUGGUAUCUUUUGCAGAGCAGAAUUUUCUUUUAAUGAAGUCUAACUUACCAACUUGCUUUUUUUCAUCGAUCAUCAUUUUGGUGCUCUUUGAAAAAUCAUUUUUCUGGGGCCAGCAUUGUGAUGUAGCAGGUGAAGCCACCUCCUGCAAUGCCAGCAUCCCAUGUGGGUGGUGGUGGUUCGAGUCCCAGCUGCUCCACUUCCAAUUCAGCUCCCUGCUAAUGGCCUGGGAAAAGCAGCAGAAGAUGGCCCAAGUAUUUUGGCUUCUGCCACUCACAUGGGAGACCUGGAAGAAGUUCCUGGCUCCUGGCUUCCGCCUGGACCAGCCCUGGCCAUUGAGGCCAAUUGGGGAAUGAACCAGCUGAUGGUAGACCACUCUCUCUCUGUCUCUGUCUCUGUCUCUUCCUUCCUAUCUAAACUCUGCCUUUUCAGUAAAUUUCUUUUUUAAAAGGUGUUAGCUAAAUGGCUCAAUAACCAUGAUGUUCUGUCUUGAAGAACAGGAUCACAGUUUUCUGCGAGCAACCAAGGUUCUCCCAUCUCUGCACCAUAGCUCAGUGUGUCAGCUCGCAGGCCUGUUGGAACUUGCUUCAUGGCCUCUACAACCGAUCUUGAUGAAGUCUCUAAAUGGAGGCAGUUCAAGACAAGCUCAGCUCCAACUGCACGCCGAUAAUUGACCUGUGCUCAGAGCAAUGGCAGCCCCAGGCCCAUACAUGCUGCUGCUAUAUUGUUUUGCAUCAUUGCCUUUGAUUCGCUGCCCAUGUCACAGCGAAGGCAAGACAUCUCUCUAGGAACUGGCUUCCCACUUGCCUGGUGAUUGAGAGAAAUCUUACAGUUUUCCCAUUAAUUGCUUUUUUUUUUAACCUUACUUUAAAAAGACCUUAAAUAGCAAUUCUACUCAACUGUGUACAAGUUGAAUAGUGACUAUGGAAAAAAGCCACCGUUGACAUUUAUUUCAGCAAGCUAACAAAGCAUGCCAGAGUAUUUGUGCCUUCAGAGCCUUACUUUUCAUGGUGCUGUUGUUAGGGGUGAAACGGCAGAGAAAAGAUUACCUUGGUUCUUUGUCUCCAUCGGAAGAAGAAUUUCCAAGUGAACAAGGCAGAGAGAAAAACAAGAUUUAUUUAAGUCAGAGUGGCCAGGGGGAGGGGGGUGGCUCAGAGAGAGGCACAACCCAAAGAAGCUGGCUGUAGUGGGGUUUUUAAGCACAAUUUUGGGGAAUAAAAAAAAGAAAAAAAAAACUUGUCAAUCAACUUGACAAUCAGUAACAAGGCAAAAGCUAUCAAAAAACCUGGUAAAUCAUCUAUUUGUCUUGUCUGGCUUGCUCAUGAUGAACGGGAGAGGUAUCUUGUUUUUCCAGUAAACUGUGAGCUCAGAAGGGCAGAGUCACCACUCCCUUGCUAUUCUCAUGAUAACAUUGGAAGCUCCCAAGGGCUGGAGAAGGCACAUUCCACUUUGCUAAAGGUUAACUUCUGGGAGAAGCAAGCAUUUGCACCCUCAGUUUCCGCUGGGACUGACCUGAUGGCUUAUUAAAUCAUCUGAUUUCUCACACUGUGGGGUGGCCUGGGGCAGUCAUUCUGUUCUUCAAGACGCUGGUGAGACCAUGCACUUUGCUGUGCUCUGGUCUCUGCUGGGGAAGGCUCAGGGCUCACAGCCAUGACUCACAGCUGGGUGCUGCCCUAUAUGCUUUCUCCAUGCAGCGACCUUGGCCUUGCUCACAGCAGGGUGGCUUCAGAAGGGAGUCCACUUUCUUACCUGGGGGUUGGCUUGAAGAGAGAGACAGUGGAAGCAGGGAGCCGUCUGCACUGUGACUGUCAAACCCGAUCGAGGCCAGAUCCUGGCAAAGCAGCUGUAAGAGUCACAUCUGGACCGGCCUGCAGUCAGCCCACGCAAGGGCAGCCUGGCGCUGGUAUUGAUUUGCUGGAAGAAGCAAAUAAGACAGCAUACUCACUUAGGCACUCUGUUGGCUACAUCAGAUGCAAGUCAUCUCAGUUCUUAGCAGCCGGCAGGAUCAAUAUCCGGCCCAUAUGCCCUUGGUCCACUGUAUGAACAGUGACCAGUGGGCUGUGCAUGACAGGCCAGAGAGGCCCAGGCCUCUGGAGAAGAUGGAGGAGCUGGGUCAGUGACCUCGGCCUUACCCCUCCCUGGGUCAUUCUGAGCAUGGUGUUCGAACAGUGUCAGAGCUCCAUAGCGAUCGGCUUCCAUGGGUUCGGCUGGGACUCUUGGAGCCACCUGUCAUUAACUUGCACCCUUUCUCAGCCUCAUAUUCCCAACCUCUCAAUGUGUUUCAUGGGGGUGGGGGGUCACCUCCCAAACUGAUCAACUGGAUCCAUAUGGCUGCUUUGGGGGAAGCCACCAAACCUGAGACAUAGAUCAUUAACAUGCUUAAAAUAUUUGGUAAAAGAAAUUUAUUGAUUUAUUUGAAAGGCAGAGUGACAGAGACACAGAGGCAGAGAGAGAGAGAGAGGGAGGGAGGGAGGGAGAGAGAGAGAGAGAGAGAGGUCUUCCAUUCGCUGUUUAACUCCCAGAUGGUUGCAACAGCUUGAGCUGAGCUGAUCCAAAGCCAGGAGCCAAGAGCUUCUUCCAGGUCUCCCAUGCAGGUGCAGGGGCCCAAGGACUUCAACCAUCUUCUACUGCUUUCCCAGGCCAUAGCAGAGAGCUGGCUGGGAAGUGGAGCAGCCGGGACUUGAACCAGCACCCACAUGGGAUGCUGGUACUGCAGGUGGUGGCUUUACCUGCUACGCCACAGUGCCAGCCCCGAUACAAUUAUGAUAGGUAAAGUUGUUGCAUGCUUUUUUUUUUUUUUUUUUUUGACAGGCAGAGUUAGACAGUAAGAGAGAGAGACAGAGAGAAAGGUCUUCCUUUUUCUGUUGAUUCACCCCCCAAGUGGCUGCUACCGCAGUUGUGUUGUGGCCAGCGCACCGCGCUGAUCCGAAACCAGGAGCCAGGUGCUUCCUCCUGGUCUCCCAUGCAGGUGCAGGGCCCAAGGACCUGGGCCAUCCUCCACUGCACUCCCGGGCCACAGCAGAGAGCUAGACUGGAAGAGGAGCAACCAGGACGGAACCAGUGCCCCAACCGGGACUAGAACCCCGGGGUGCUGGCGCCGCAGGCAGAGGAUUAGCCUAGUGAGCCGCGGCGCUGGCCGUUGUUGCAUGUUUUUGAAACACUUGGAGAUUCUACUUCCUGGCUUCAUAUUUCAGGUGGAAACCUGGUGGUGUCCAUGUGCAGACUGACAAUGCUCCAUCUUCAUUUCCAGGGUGGAGCAGCUUGCUUUGAAGGCCUGACUUCCCAACAACUCCCAAACAGUUACAAUUCCGCCCUCUGUUUAGUCUGAGAAUGGAGAAAAGGGGUGGGAUGAGAAGUGAGUUGUAGGGAAGGGAGUGUACUAUUGAGGAAAGAGGUGGUGCUGUGAAAUGUUAGUCUGUUUUAAUUAUUUUUUGUUUAUUAUUCAUUUGAAAAGCAGAUAGAAAUAGAUGCCAGAGAGAUGACAGAUGGAUGAUAGAUGAUAGAAAUACAGAUAGAUGAUAGAUAGAUAGAGAUAGAGAUGAUAGAUAGAUAGAUAGAUAGAUAGAUAAAGAGAAGCAGAGAUUUCCUAUUCGCUUUUACUUCCUAAAUGCCUGCAACAGGCAGGACUGGACCAAGCCAGAGCCAAGAGCCAGCAAUUCAAUCCAGGCCUGCCCUGUAGGCAGCAGGAACCCAAUUAUUCAAGCCAUCCUCACUGCCCUGCCACCCAGGGUGUGUGAAUUAACAGGAGGCGAAAGUCAGGAGCCAGCGCUGGGACUCCGGCCCAGGCACUCUGGUACGGGAUGCAGGCAUCUCAGGCAAGGGCCUCAAACACUUGUCCCAGGUGGGGUCUUAUUCUAAGGGGAUUGGACCUUGAUUUCCAGGAGAAGAAGUCUGGAAAUGCAGAGAUAGAAAAGGGGAGAGAGAGAGAGAGAGAGAGAGAGAGAGUGGGAGGGAGGCGAGAGGAUGGAAGUGUGAUGAGCACGAGGUGAGGGAGACGUAGAAGAACCAGGAAGGGCAGGAUUAGCUCAAGGUGAAUUUUAUGCUCUUCGCAGAAAUACUUUUAUUCCCCCCAAACACUCAUUUAACUCUCCCCUCCCCCAACAUAAGUGCUUCUACAAGGCUAUUUUCGCUUUCUCAUGAAACACAGAAUUAAAAGCUAGAUUUCUUUUGGCGCAUGACUGUUUUGAAUUCAUGUGUAUUAGGGACUUCUGAAAGGUUCAUUGGAAUUGUGUAUCUUGAAAACUUCAUGGAUUUCAAGGUUUUCAGCUUGUGCGCCCACGUGUGUACAUGCCUCUCUGUGUGUGUGUGUGUGUGUUGAUGGAAUUAAAGCACAGCUCUUGGGUUCUCCCUGAAGACAGUUGAAAUGGAGGCCAAGCAUGCCCAGAGCUAGGACUGGGAAAGACCAGGCCAAAGUACAAGCGAUUGGGAGGUCAUGGGUUUGUAGAGGUUUGCUAAGGUUUUUUUUUUAUUUUUUUAAAUUUAUUUAUCUAUCUGAAAGAGUUACACAGAGAGAGAAGGAGAGGCAGAGAGAGAGAGAGAGAGAGAGAGAGAGAGAGGUCUUUCAUCCAUUGGUUCACUUUCCAAUUGGCCAUAAAUGUGCCGAUCCGAAACCAGGAUCCAGGAGCUUCUUCUGGGUCUCCCACGUGGGCACAGGGGCCCAAGGACUUGGGCCAUCUUCCACUGCUACCCCAGGCCAUAGCAGAGAGCUGGAUUGGAAGAUAGCCGGGACUGGAACCGGUGCCCAUAUGGGAUGCUGGCAGGUGGCCUUAUCCGCUACGCCACAGCUCCAGCCCCCUGCUAAGGUCUUCAGGAGGAUGUGGAGUAUCCCCAAGUUGGAGCAGAGAGGAUUGAAUUAAAUGUCUGUGAAUGUCAAGGGGGCAGCAGGAGCUGAUGUCUGCACUAGAUCACCUGCGCACUUUCCCAGUGUGGCUUUGCCAGAGGUUGAAGAACAGGUUUAAAUGUGAGUCCAUGCCAGUGCUGUGGCAAAGUGGGUAAUGGUAGCUUUGGGAUCCGCAAGGAGGGAUGCCCUGUAUCUAUAAAAGGAGCCCACCCAACCUCUGAUGCGUGACUUCCCUGGCCCCUGCUCUGUUGCUCUAUUGGGCCCGGGGAACCUCGCUCGGGAGCAGAAUCCCAAUAAAAGCUCGUGAAUUAAUUGAUUCAUCUGCCUGGGAAGAUUUGUUAUGCACCAGACACCUUGCAGGUAAAGCCGGCUCCUGCAGUGCAGCAUCCCAUAUGGGCACCGGUUCGAGUCCUGGCUGCUCCACUUCCAAUCCAGCUCUCUGCUAUGGCCUGGGAAAGCAGUGGAAGAUGGCCCAAGUCCUUGGGCCCCUGUACCCAUGUGGGAGACCUGGAGGAAGCUUCUGGCUCCUGGCCCCUGGCUUUGGAUAGGCUCAGCUCUGGAAGAAGCUCCUGGCUCCUGGCUUCAGAUUGGCACAGCUCCAGCCUUUGUGGCCAACUGGGGAAUGAACCAGCAGAUGGAAGACUUCUCUCUCUGCCUCUGCCUCUUUGUAACUCUGUCUUUCAAAUAAAUAAAUAAAUAUUAAAAAAAAAAAAGUGAAUCUACCAUGUUCCCAUCCUGGGGUAGCACCAAGCACCUGGGACCAGGGGUGAUGGUGGAGAAGGGGGGACGCUGGCUCUCUUAACUCCAAGAACCUUGCACCUUCCCUAUCAGUGUCAAUCAAACGGACGUCACCAGCAUCAUCUGGCUCCUGGCUUCUGUUGACCUUUCCCCUGGAUUGGGGGAGGUGGGGGCUUGUGGGAAGAACAGAACUACAUUAGUUUCUUAAAGUGUUUAUCUUGCGGUGCGGAAAUGACGGGGUUGCACGGAACUGUGUUUACGUGACGUGAGCGUAGCAGGCAGACGGCUGGCUCGGGUGGAUGGGUUAGUCAGCCUCAAUUAGUCUCAGAGCAUCCUCGCCGCGGCUUGGGAAAUCUAGAUCCUUCCAGUGUAAGCUUCAGUAGUUUUCCUUUGGGUGGGGGUAGGGAGUGGGGGUGGGGGAGGAGUCUUCAGAAGGCAGGUGCAUGCUAGGCCAGCCCCCAGGGAGUUUCACGUGCAAGGAUCAUAGGUUAGGACCUCCAGCGGCCAAGGAGGAUGCAGAUAUCACACUCGCGGGCGUCGGAUGAGCACGUGCAUCCCCUGCCAGGAGACGGUUGUCGAGAAGGCCUGUGGGGGAGGGGCUGAGGGAGGAGCUUGCAUCACGGACAUCCAGGGAGAUGACCCACUGCGUGUCCUGUCUGUCCCAGCCUCUCUUCAGAGUCUCCCUGGGUGUGUCCCAUGGCACCCUGAGCACACACAUGGAGGAGCCCUUGCUCAGCAGAAAGAUCAGCCACAGGAGAAGGGGGCAGAAGAUACUCACCCUCCACUUCCUUGUCGAACUUCUACUUGUCUUCAAAACCCGAUGUUGUGGCACAGUGGGCUAAGCCUCCGCCUGUGACGCCAGGCUCCCAUAUGGGUGCCGAUUUGAGUCCUGGCCGCUCUGCUUUGGAACCAGCUUCCUGCUAUUGCACCUGGGAAGGCAGUGGAAGAUGGUCCAAGUGCUUGUGCCCCUGCCACCUAUGCGAGAGCCCUGGAAGAAGCUCCUGGCUCCUGGCUCCAGCCUGGUCCAGCCUUGGCUGUUACAGCCAUUUGGGGAGUGAACCAGUGAAUCACACACCUUCCAGGGCCAGGCAACAGCACAAGUUAAGAUGGAUCCAGGUAAUGGGGCAAUCGGGAGUGGUAGGGACCAUAGCCAAAACCGAGCAGCUGGUCCCCGCCCAGAAGGGGAGCUGCUAUUCCGUCCCAUCUGAUGUGGGCAUGUGGUGAUAUGGGUCCCACUUUUCUAGAUCUUCCACUUUUACCAGCCAUCCUUCACUGCUUUCCCAGGUACAUUGGCAGGGAGAGGGAUGGGAAGUGAAGCAGCCAAGACUUGAACCAGGGCUCUUAUGGGUUGCUGGCACUGCAGGCUGCAGUUUAACCCACUAAGCCACACCACCAGCUCCUAAACAUCUGGAUAAAUAUUUAGGUGUGUUUUGGACCUUAAGCAUCUACAAAUAGUGGUUCAUUAUUCAUUCAACAUCUAUUCUGUUUUUCUUUUCAUGCUUAAAAUGUUUCCAUUUCUGAUUCUUAAUUUACAUGUCAUCACAUCUUUUUAAAAAAAUACUACAUCUACACGUGUGUGUAUUCUGAUGAUAAGCUCCUUCAGUCCUCCAUAAAAAAAGACCCAUAAACAUUUUCAUCCCUGGGUGAUGCUAUGGAGUGGGAUAGAAUUGAAUGCCUUUUAUAUGACUCGCGUUCUUAUUGUGAACAAUGUUGCCAAACCCUUUGAAUCUGAAAUGAAUUUUGCCAUGUAUGUGGAUGGAUGUUUCUAGCUAACCAAAGUCUGCCAGUCUCCUAAAAAGACACAAAACAAGAAGAUGCAUGCCUUUUGUGUUCUUUCCUUUAUAUCUGCAGCAAAGCUGUGAUAUGUUGGGGCUGGCAUUGUGGUGGAGUGGGUAAAGCUGAGGCCUGGAGUGCCAGUGUCCCUUAUGGGCACUGCUUUGUGUCCUGGCUGCUCCAUUUCCUAUGCAGCUCCCUGCUAAUGGCCUGUGACUCAAACAAGUGCUCCAAUAUGGUGGCAGCAUAACCCACUAGUCCCGCCCUUGAUGCUUUGAGAUUCUUUUUUUUUUUUUUAAUUUCCUACCUCAAAGUCAGAAUAUAUGUUCCCCUUUUAAUUUUUAAAGAUUUAUUUAUUUACUUGAAAGUCAGAGUUACACACACACAUACACACACGAGAGAGAGAGAGAGAGAGAGAGAGAGAGAGAGAGAGAGAGAGAGGUCUUUCAUCCUCUGGUUCACUCCCCAGUUGGCCACAACAGCCAAAACUGAGACAAUCCGAAGUAAGGAGCCAGGAGCUUCUUCCGGGUCUCCCACAUGGGUACAGGGGCCCAAGGACUUGGGCCAUCCUCCACUGCUUUCCCAGGCCACAACAGAGAGCUGGAUCAGAAGUGGAGCAGCCAGGACUCAAACCGGCGCUCAUAUGGGAUGCCGACACUGCAGGCUUUACCCGCUAUGCCAUGGUACCAGCCCCUGUUCUCCUGUUUUAUGCUAAAAGCUUUAUCCUUUUACUUUUCAUAUCUUAGUCUCCUAUCUAUUUCAUAGCGAUUUAUGUGUAGAUAAGAAGUUGGGGGGUCACAGUUCAGUUUUUUUCUUUCACGCAGAGCACUGAUCAGCCAAGCAAAAUUUUGAAGAAUCCACCACUCUCCUUCUGCCUUUUGGGGAUCCCUUGGUGUAAAUAAUGAGGCACUACACUCUCCAACUUUCCUCAUGGCUCGUUAAAAAUGUUUUUAAAUUGUUGAUUUAUUUUAAUCUACCUGAAAGGGAGGGAGAGAGAGAGAGAGAGAGAGAGAGAGAGAGAGAAGUUUUCCAUCCUCUGAUUCACCAUCCAAAUGUCCAUCAUGUCCAGGGCUGAGCCAGGUCAAAGCCAGGAGCAAGGAGCUCCCUCAGGGCCUCCCAUGUGGGUAUCAGGACCCCAGCACUCUGCUAGAGGAAGCAGGUGUUCCCAAGUGACAGCUGCAUCUGCUGAGUCAGCCACAAUGCCCACCCUGCUCGUGGUUCUUCUGCGCCAUCAUGAGUGUUUUAAGGACCCGUGUCCAGAUUAUACUCACACAAAGAAUUCUUACAGAAAAAGCCCAACAGCCAAACACAACUGGGCUAUUAAAUUUCAUAGGUGGCCAAGUCCAUUCUAAUUCUUUGCUUGUAAUUGACUAUUUAACACGCAUGUGCUGAGUGCCUGCGUCGCACCAGGCAGAGAAAGAGUGAAACUUGUUAUCGUUCUCAUUUAUUUAUUUACUACUUUCUUCCCCUGUGUGUUUUUCACAUUCCUUCUUGGGACGUGACGAGACAGAGACAAAUGUCCCAGGGUUUUGAAAGCUGCAGAGCUGAAUAUGGACAGAAAUGCAUGGUGGAGGCUACGGCGAUGGUCCCCGUGGACACGGCAGAGGCAAGGGUGCCGGGGUGGGAUGGUGCUACUCCAGGUGCAGGUUCUUGUUUUUGUCACAGACUGGGAAAGGCCCAGCUGGAAUGCACGCUAAUUCACAGCACCAUCAGUGAUUCAUGCCAAACACUCAAGACAUUCAAAAAUGCAGGAACUCUCAUUUUCUGCAAAGAAUAGAAGAAACCAAAAAGCCAGCCAGGAAAAUGGGUGAAAGUUAAACGACCAAAUAACUUACAGCUGACUCUCAACUUUGACAAAAGAGUUAUGAAUUGGGACUCUAACACAAUGCUCCCUAUCGCCAGACACAUCCUGUGUGUUCAGGAAAAGUCGUGUACCCUGUUUCAGCCUUGUCAUGGUAAGCGUUGACUAAGGAGAUUUGCCAUCCUUUGUCAAAAGACUUCAGGGGAAGAUCAUACAGUUGUGUUUAAGGUUAGCAUGGACAUUCUUUGGCUACACAUGCAGCCUGCAACAGCCAGAAGAGGAAAGUUGUAAAUCCAGAGUGAGUGGGAAGGAAAGAACUUGGAAUCCCUGUGUUUAUGGGUCAGCUGGGGGGAUCCAAACAUUAGAAUGAUUGCAAUGAUUUUUAGAAGCAUCCCACUGCAGAGCUAAAAUGUGCGUGUUACCAGGAUGGGACAUUUCGUUAGCUUAAUGGGCAAACUUUGCUUUAAUCACAAGAUUGAGGUUUUUUUUUUUUUAAAGAUUUAUUUAUUUGAAAGUCAGAUUUACACAGAGAGAAGAGGAGAAGCAGAGAGAGAAAUCUUCCAUUUGGUUGUUCACUCCCCAAUUGACCACAAUGGUUGGAGCUGUACCAAUCUGAAGCCAGAAGCCAGGAGCCAGGAGCUUCUUCUGGGUCUCCCAUGUAGGUUCAGGGCCCCAAGAACUUGGGCCAUCUUCUACUGCUUUCCCAGGCCUUAACAGAGAGCUGAUCAGAAGUGAAGCAGUCAGGACUUGAACUGGUGCCCAUAUGGGAUGCUGGUACUGUAGGCGGUAGCUUUACCCGCUACACCACAGCGCCAGCCCCAAGACUGAGGUUUAUAUAAGCCAAAUCUCCAGUGAGAUCUUGAAAAAGAAUUCUAUGACCCCUCCUCAAAGUCUUUCUUAUUACACAUGGAGAGAAGUCUCCUUCCUCCUUUUUGCUUUUGACUGUGAGCCCCACGGGUUUGGGCAGCGCUGAGUUUCUGACGGUUAGAAAAGCAAGCCAAGUUCAACACCGCAGGUGUCAGGUAGCUGCUGCCAUUUCUGCUGCUUGGAACUCAGCCAAAAUUGGUCCACACUGCGGCAGAAUGCAAACCACUCUGCCGAUCUUCCUGGUACAAAGAAGCACAUUGCUACGGACACACCAUGCAGGCUACCUGGCGUACUAAAGAAUGUGAUGGAUUCAAGUCCUGAAUCCAUGUGUACAGCGUGUGGGGGGAGUGGCCUUCCUCCCUGGAGACCUAUCCCUACCUGACAGGUGAGCAGAGGAUGUGAAAAUACCACAGGUACCGGGUACGAAACUUUCCUUUUGGGGUGAGUAAUCAUUGAGUGUCGGCAAUUAAGCACGGUUCUGUUGAACAGGAUGGCGUUCUUAGCCUGUCAGAAACCCACUCUCUGUUCUUGUCUGUCACUACUUUGGAUAUAAAAAUCUAUCUGUUCAAUCAGAAGGCAUUAUUGAAUGUGCAGCAAGCACCGUGUUAUGUGGAAAACAUAAAAAUAGUCAGGGUCAUUGGAAGGGUGGGCUUUGCCAAAUAAUCAGUGAGUCCAUAAAUUUGCAAGAGAACCAUUCAUAGGAACGAAUUUGGCAGGUGCCUGAAAUGUGAGUCUGUAUGCAGGUACCAGCGCAACGUGUGCUCAGGUAGCAUCUUGCCACGCACCGGAAGGAAGUGACGCAAAUUGCGGGGUGAUGAGGCGACCACAUGGUGGAAAAGCACCCGAGGCGGAAGACGAGACAUUCCCCAAGCCAGGCGACACUUUGUCCGCCUGCUGCCUCCUUUUUCACACAGGGACAUGGAGCACACUGCUCCCACCUGCAGGGGACGUCCUGCCACUCCUGCCAAAGGUGUCAUCCUGCACUGUUUAUUUUUUCUCCUUAAUUAACCUUAGCUCUGUCCAUCACAGUGCACCUGGUUUACUUUCUGUGUUUUCAUGGCUGCGUAGCAUCUGUGAGGUGAGUCCGAUAGUCUAUUUAGAUGCUCCCCUGUGGCCUUGGAGGUGGCUCUGCAUCCAUUCCUGUUGGUUUUGUCCAUCUGCCCAGCACUCUUUAGAUCCUACUACCGAAGUCCAUCACCACCUUUUGCUGAAGCAUUCAGCAGGGGUUUUGGCGGAGGCAGGGAGGUAGCCAGCUAGGAGGACCCGGCGUCACCAGCCCCUCCCUGCAGCCCUGCCUGUACCACUCAACACUCUCCCUGCCACCUCCACUCUUUUGCUGCUCAGAAGUGGCACAGUCCAAAAUAACCCACGUGCUGGCUGCCCACCUCCCUGUGGUGACCUUAUGCUGAUCCAGUUAUCAUGGCUGACACUCCUAUUCCCAUCAUGCACCUGCUGCUAUGACACUUCUGAGUUUUCCAAAAUAGAGCAAGGAAAUGGGCGGUGCUGAAGCCCCACCCAAACUCCACCUCUUAUGAAUAUUCAAUUAAACCCCACCACAGACACCACUCCCUGUGCCCCCAGAUCCUAUAAAGGGAGGGCCCCCAAGAGAAUGAAGCUCUCUCUUGAACAUGGCUGCUCUCCUUAGUGUGUACUUUCACUUUGUGUGCAAAUAAUCUCGCUUCUCUGCAGACCUUUACCUGCAUUUCAUCUUGAAUUGUUUCUUGCGUAGGAGACCAGAACCUGGACCCAGCCACCCCGUGUCAGAGGCAUGCUUCGUCGGUAUAAGUGAACUUAUGCUCUGCUGACCUGGAGGAGGAAUGCUUCCAGCCAGAGACAUAACAAUGCUUCCAUUGAAAGGGAAGUUAAAAUGCCCAUCUAACUGCUUUUGGCUCCUUGUUGCCUCGGAAUCAGCGGGAGGAGAAAGGGGUUACUCGGCUGGUAGAGAAUCAAUUCCAACUUCUGAGAGAAAUCUGACUAGCACUCCACAAUGGAGGGUAGAGAGAGUGUGGUUGGGAUGCAGAGAUCCCCUAGGGUGUCUCCUGGUAUCUCCAGCAUCAGCAAGCCCUGUGAUUGAGACCAGUAGAAAAUUACAACACAGUCCGGGCAGGACUGCUGAUGGCCUGGGCCAUUCAGCAACGAGGGUUGGGUCAAUCUAGGCAGAGAACCAUGAGUAACUACGAUGCUAUUUGAAAGCCAAGGGGAUGUGGGAUGAGUAGGGGAAGAAUGGAAUUAUAAAAACUAGCUAUGACCACGCAGCCGGACAAAUAUCUUUGUUUUCUUCCCUCCCUUAUUCCUCUGUCCUAUAACAUAAGAUGUGUUAAGUUCUUAUAGGAUUUAAGUGGAGAUACUAAAGAGAAGAGUGAGCUCUACUCCCACUCCAGAGAAGGGAUGAAUGAGUUUUCUGGUAUAUACAGGGUGGUUGUCUCAUGUCAGAUGGAAUUAUAACCCAAAUUUUGUCUUUAUUCAGAGAUUAAGUAUGGCUAAAGCGCUGUGUAUGGCUGACAAGUUGAUCGGGAAUGCAUUUGUGAUGGUCCAUUGUGUGGGUCACAGGACUGGCAGGUGUCCGGUGGCUGGCACUGUGGCAUAGAAGCUUAAGCCUCCACCUGUGGCGCUGAUAUCCCAGGUGGGCACUGGUUCAAAUCCUGGCUGCUCCACUUCCAAUCCACCUCCCUGCUAAUGCAUCUGGGAAAGCAGUACAAGAUGGCCCAAGUGCUUGGGUCCCUGAAGCCACUUGGGAGCUCUAGAAGAAGCUCCUGGCUCCUGGCUUUGGUCUGGCUCAGCCCUGGCUGUUGCAACCAUUUGGGGGAGUGAACCGGUGAAUGGAAGAUCUCUCUCUCUCUCUCUCUCUCUCUCUCUCCCUCUAUCUAUCUAUCUAUCUAUCUAUCUAUCUAUCUCUGCCUUUCAAAUAAAUAAAUACAUCUUUUAAAAAUACAGUUGUUCUCUAUUUUGUAAGUAUUGGUUCUUACAUAAUGUGGUUUCUGCAUUUCAGGUGUGAACAGAGUGAGAGGGAUACUCUACAAACAGUUAUUCCUGUGCAUACUAAGAGAAGAAGCAAUGUUUUGGGAACCUGGGCCUGGGUCCACUCCCUUUAGAGUUAUUCGCUAAGUUGGAAAUGCACUAGACUGGAUGUUUUCCAAGGUUGAAAAGUUCUUGGAGCUUUUAUCUUUUUUAAUCCAUUUGAAAUCUUGGGAAAUGGUCACGACUUGCAGUUUCUGAUUAGUGGCCAGUUUGUUUCCUUUGGAGGGUGAAUGAAGUGAUGAUUUCAGACCAGCUGGGCACACCCCUGUCACACAGGCACGCCCCCAUCCCGGCCUCAGCAGGUUCACGGCAAACGCACACGCACACUUCCAACGCUCACACCCAUGCUGACUCAGCACAGGGCGCCAUGUGCUAGGAUCGCCAGAUAAAACACAGGGGGCAGGAUGGUCAGCAAAACUGAAUCUUAGAUAAAGAAUGAGCACUUCUCUUAGGGGAAGAAUUUCCUGUGCAAUACUUGAGACAUACGCUAAAAGUAUCUGCUGUGUAUUAGAAGUUUAUUGUCAAACCUGGCGACUUUAACAGGCACCAAUAUCAUACAUACACUCACAGUGUAUGUAAUCAUACAUGCACACGCAGUAUCCAUCCAUGCCUGCACACGGGAGCAUGCAUGCCUUUCCCGCUGCGUUGUCCGUCCAUUGUCGACUUGUUCAUUAGAAACGCCAGAAACCCUCAAAUAAAGAGCGAUUUAC
Non-coding RNA from Oryctolagus cuniculus (rabbit), 16529 nucleotides. The record is from RefSeq and is a predicted model, not a curated record. Lineage: Eukaryota; Metazoa; Chordata; Mammalia; Lagomorpha; Leporidae.